AGUGAACUUAAGCCCCAGUAAACGGCGGCCGUAACUAUGACGGUCCUAAGGUAGGGAAAUUCCUUGUCGGGUAAGUUCCGACCCGCACGAAAGGCGUAACGAUUUGGGCACUGUCUCAACAACAGACUCGGUGAAAGUGUAAUUCCGGUGAAGAUGCCGGAUACCUGCGACAGGACGGAAAGACCCCAUGGAGCUUUACUGUAGCUUGACAUUGGGU
RNAcentral lists this ribosomal RNA (217 nucleotides) under Clostridioides difficile. RNAcentral describes it as "partial 23S ribosomal RNA". It matches the Rfam family "Bacterial large subunit ribosomal RNA", at positions 1906 to 2122 of the family's 2925-position model. Lineage: Bacteria; Bacillati; Bacillota; Clostridia; Peptostreptococcales; Peptostreptococcaceae. The record is from RNAcentral.